CUCGUGUCGUGAGAUGUUGGGUUAAGUCCCGGCAACGAGCGCAACCCUUGUCUUUAGUUGUCCAUCAUUCAGUUGGGCACUCUAGAGAGACUGCCCGAAGGACGAACUCGGAGGAAGGUGGGGAUGACGUCAAAUCAUCAUGCCCCUUAUGUCCUGGGCUACACACGUGCUACAAUGGCUGGUACAAAGAGACGCAAGACCGCGAGGUGGAGCAAAUCUCAAAAACCAGUCCCAGUUCGGAUUGUAGGCUGCAACUCGCCUGCAUGAAGUCGGAGUUGCUAGUAAUCGCAGAUCAGAAUGCUGCGGUGAAUGCGUUCCCGGGUCUU
RNAcentral lists this ribosomal RNA (326 nucleotides) under uncultured Eubacteriales bacterium. RNAcentral's name for it is "bacterial SSU rRNA". It matches the Rfam family "Bacterial small subunit ribosomal RNA", at positions 1059 to 1382 of the family's 1533-position model. The record is from RNAcentral. Lineage: Bacteria; Bacillati; Bacillota; Clostridia; Eubacteriales.